This 922-nucleotide long non-coding RNA is filed under the name Rattus norvegicus (Norway rat). RNAcentral's name for it is "long non-coding RNA NONRATT007197". Lineage: Eukaryota; Metazoa; Chordata; Mammalia; Rodentia; Muridae. The record is from RNAcentral.
UUGACUUUGGACAUGCUUUUGGAUCAGCUACUCAGUUUCUUCCAAUCCCUGAGUUGAUGCCUUUUCGUCUAACCCGCCAAUUUAUCAGUCUCAUGUUGCCAAUGAAAGAAACGGGUCUUGUGUGCACAGUCAUGGUGCAUGCACUGAGGGCUUUCCGCUCGUGUGCAGGUCUGCUCACUGAUACCAUGGAAGUUUUUGUGAAGGAACCCUCCUUUGAUUGGAAGGUAUAUUUUGGUUUUGGAUAGACACACUCUUGUCUCCUUUGUAUUGUGAAAAUACAUCAUUGUAUUUACUGAAAUGUUUAUAUUGUGCUACGUCUCAAAACUAACCUAAAAAAAAUCAGAUAAAAAGCAAAACACUUUUUUGGAAGAAACAUACUUCUAUGUUUAGCUUGAGCCUAACUGGAGGUGACAGAAUGGACCCAUUGGUAACAUUAAGUAUAAAUUCUGUUUUCAUACACAAUUUAUUGUUGUAAUUAUAAAUAGGGUCUUAUUCUAGCCUGGGCUAGCCUAGAAUUCACCACAUAGACAAGGCUGUCCUAGAACUCAAGGGAAUCUUGCCUCAACCUCUUGAUUUCUGGAAUUAUAAUAAUUCUUCUCCAAACCUACAACUUUUUACAAAAAUGUUUAGUUUUUAUGAGUGUUUUGCCUGCAGGAAUGUAAGUGCACCAUAAGCAUGCAGUACGCACAAAGGCCAGAAGAAGGAGUGCCUGUAUUAGAAUUGCAGAAGGUUGAAAACAACCAUGUGGUUUCUGGGACCUGAACCCUGGUCCUCUGUAAGAACUUCAAAUGCUUUUAAUCCUUGAACUAUCUCUACAGCUAACAAAAACUUUGAUUUAGAAACCAUUCAUGGGAAUUCUUCCUUAAUCCUAAGAACAGAUAAAUAGUGCUGUUGAAUCAAUUAUCCAGAAUAGCCCCCGAAG